RNAcentral lists this ribosomal RNA (424 nucleotides) under uncultured bacterium. RNAcentral's name for it is "partial 16S ribosomal RNA". It matches the Rfam family "Bacterial small subunit ribosomal RNA", at positions 359 to 776 of the family's 1533-position model. The record is from RNAcentral.
GAAUUUUGGACAAUGGGCGAAAGCCUGAUCCAGCAAUGCCGCGUGCAGGAUGAAGGCCUUCGGGUUGUAAACUGCUUUUGUACGGAACGAAAAGCUUUGGGUUAAUACCCUGGAGUCAUGACGGUACCGUAAGAAUAAGCACCGGCUAACUACGUUCCAGCAGCCCCGGUAAGACGUAGGGUGCAAGCGUUAAUCGGAAUUACUGGGCGUAAGGCGUGCGCAGGCGGUUUUGUAAGACAGAGGUGAAACCCCCGGGCUCAACCUGGGAACGGCCUUGGGAACUGCAAGGCUAGAGUCCGGCAGGGGGGGGUGGAAUCCCGCGUGUAGCGGUGAAAUGCGUAGAUAUGCGGAGGAACACCGAUGGCGAAGGCACCCCCCUGGGCCUGUACUGACGCUAAUGCACGAAAGCGUGGGAGCAAACAGG